Molecule: ribosomal RNA, 1068 nt
Filed under: Gibbsiella quercinecans
Lineage: Bacteria; Pseudomonadati; Pseudomonadota; Gammaproteobacteria; Enterobacterales; Yersiniaceae
Description: bacterial SSU rRNA
Rfam family: Bacterial small subunit ribosomal RNA
Source: RNAcentral
CAGUCGAGCGGCAGCGGGAGGAAGCUUGCUUCCUCGCCGGCGAGCGGCGGACGGGUGAGUAAUGUCUGGGAAACUGCCCGAUGGAGGGGGAUAACUACUGGAAACGGUAGCUAAUACCGCAUAACGUCGCAAGACCAAAGUGGGGGACCUUAGGGCCUCACACCAUCGGAUGUGCCCAGAUGGGAUUAGCUAGUAGGUGGGGUAAUGGCUCACCUAGGCGACGAUCCCUAGCUGGUCUGAGAGGAUGACCAGCCACACUGGAACUGAGACACGGUCCAGACUCCUACGGGAGGCAGCAGUGGGGAAUAUUGCACAAUGGGCGCAAGCCUGAUGCAGCCAUGCCGCGUGUGUGAAGAAGGCCUUCGGGUUGUAAAGCACUUUCAGCGAGGAGGAAGGCGUUGUAGUUAAUAACUGCAGCGAUUGACGUUACUCGCAGAAGAAGCACCGGCUAACUCCGUGCCAGCAGCCGCGGUAAUACGGAGGGUGCAAGCGUUAAUCGGAAUUACUGGGCGUAAAGCGCACGCAGGCGGUCUGUUAAGUCAGAUGUGAAAUCCCCGGGCUUAACCUGGGAACUGCAUUUGAAACUGGCAGGCUAGAGUCUCGUAGAGGGGGGUAGAAUUCCAGGUGUAGCGGUGAAAUGCGUAGAGAUCUGGAGGAAUACCGGUGGCGAAGGCGGCCCCCUGGACGAAGACUGACGCUCAGGUGCGAAAGCGUGGGGAGCAAACAGGAUUAGAUACCCUGGUAGUCCACGCUGUAAACGAUGUCGAUUUGGAGGUUGUGGCCUUGAGCCGUGGCUUCCGGAGCUAACGCGUUAAAUCGACCGCCUGGGGAGUACGGCCGCAAGGUUAAAACUCAAAUGAAUUGACGGGGGCCCGCACAAGCGGUGGAGCAUGUGGUUUAAUUCGAUGCAACGCGAAGAACCUUACCUACUCUUGACAUCCACGGAACUUGGCAGAGAUGCCUUGGUGCCUUCGGGAACCGUGAGACAGGUGCUGCAUGGCUGUCGUCAGCUCGUGUUGUGAAAUGUUGGGUUAAGUCCCGCAACGAGCGCAACCCUUAUCCUUUGUU